RNAcentral lists this ribosomal RNA (492 nucleotides) under uncultured bacterium. Its description in RNAcentral is "partial 16S ribosomal RNA". It matches the Rfam family "Bacterial small subunit ribosomal RNA", at positions 30 to 507 of the family's 1533-position model. The record is from RNAcentral.
UUGAACGCUAGCGGCAUGCUUUACCCAUGCAAGUCGAACGGCAACGAGGAGAAGCUUGCUUCUCUGUCGGCGAGUGGCGAACGGGUGAGUAUAGCAUCGGAACGUGCCAAGUAGUGGGGGAUAACCAAACGAAAGUUUGGCUAAUACCGCGUAAGCUCCAAGGAGGAAAGUAGGGGACCUAAAUAAGGCCUUACGCUAUUUGAUCGGCCGAUGUCGGAUUAGCUAGUUGGUGGGGUAAUGGCUCACCAAGGCAAUGAUCCGUAGCGGGUCUGAGAGGACGAUCCGCCACACUGGGACUGAGACACGGCCCAGACUCCUACGGGAGGCAGCAGUGGGGAAUUUUGGACAAUGGGGGAAACCCUGAUCCAGCCAUGCCGCGUGUAUGAAGAAGGCCUUAGGGUUGUAAAGUACUUUUGUUAGGGAAGAAAAGCUAGUUUUUAAUAAAAAUUAGUGAUGACGGUACCUAAAGAAUAAGCACCGGCUAACUACGUG